Molecule: long non-coding RNA, 1050 nt
Filed under: Cervus hanglu yarkandensis (Yarkand deer)
Lineage: Eukaryota; Metazoa; Chordata; Mammalia; Artiodactyla; Cervidae
Description: lncRNA (ENSCHYG00000008842.1)
Source: RNAcentral
AUGCGGGCUGUAAACUCUGGGCGGGCGGCCGGGGGAAGGGUUAUCCGCCUGGUUGCGGGGCCGCGUGGGGGAGCUGCAGGCGCGCGGGAGGGCGGAAAACCACCAGUGAAACCGAAUUUCUGGAGCAAGGGCACAGCAGCCCCCCUCUCCGCCUUCACACUCCGCUCGCUGCAUCGCCGCUGCGCUCGACCUCCGCCCCUUGGGGGAAGGGCGGGGGUGCAGAAGGCCUCUCCAGCGGGCACAGGGUCAGCCCGGGUGACCGAGCGGCAGGGACACACUGCGGCACAGGGUGCGCGCAGCACUUCCACACAGCGCUUUCGCUGCCUCAGCAUUCGCUGCUUCUCCGCUCGCCUCCCCCACCUGCCCCCGCAGAUCCCUCGCCUCCACACCCGACAGCUGGGCUGGCCGGACCGACCAUUCUGGGGUCCGCCCUGUGUUCUUCCCUCAAAGAUCCCGAGUCCGGGCUCGUGGGCCCUAGGUCUGCUCCCACCUCUCCUCCCACGCCGCACAAUGCUGCAGACGUCUGGGCCUCCGUUCCCGGAGCCUCUUGGGGGAACUCCACACGAGCUGGGGCCGCGGCAUCCCCAAGACCCCACCCAGGAGACCCUGGCGGGGGCCAGGCCCCGCGCAACCAUUUCCGCCGUCCUCUCCCCCACCCCUCCCUCCCCCUACCGUCGCUCCUGGGCUUUAAAAGCCAGAGGCUGGGUCGGGCCGCAGGCAGAGGCGGCCGCGGGCGCAGGAGGCUGGGCCCGGGAGCUGUCCGAGCGCCGAGCCCCGCCCCCGGAGCCCCCAUCCCUCCCUCCCACCUUCCCUCGUCCCGCCCUCCCCGAGCACCCCUCCCCCCCAGGACCCCCGCCCCCCGCCCGCCGCCGUCGCCGCCGCCGCUCGCUCCGGCUGCAGAACAAUAAAGCAAGCCUCCCAGAGACCCCCGCCGAGGACCCCCGCCCGGCGGCCGAGCCCCCGCGUCCCGCCCCUCGCCGCUCGCUCGGGCUGUGCGCGCCCGGUCGCUGGCCGAGGUGCUGGCUGGGCCGGCGCUGGCCGCGGUGCUGA